GGUAACAGCUCAAAUUUGAAAUCUGGCUCCUCUGGAGUCCGAGUUGUAAUUUGUAGAAGAUGCUUUGGGUUGUGGGUUCGGCCUAAGUUCCUUGGAACAGGACGUCAUAGAGGGUGAGAAUCCCGUAUGUGGCCGAGGCCCGCGCCUAUGUAAAGCUCUUUCAACGAGUCGAGUUGUUUGGGAAUGCAGCUCAAAAUGGGUGGUAAAUUUCAUCUAAAGCUAAAUAUGGGCCAGAGACCGAUAGCGCACAAGUAGAGUGAUCGAAAGAUGAAAAGCACUUUGGAAAGAGAGUUAAACAGUACGUGAAAUUGUUGAAAGGGAAGCGCUUGCACCCAGACUUGGGCGCUGCUGAUCAUCUUGCGGUCUCCGCGAGUGCACUCGACAGCGCACAGGCCAGCAUCGGUUCGGGUGGCUGGAUAAAGGCCGUAGGAACGUAGCUCCCUUCGGGGAGUGUUAUAGCCUACGGUGCCAUGCAGCCCAGCCGGACCGAGGACCGCGCCUUCGGGCUAGGAUGCUGGCGUAAUGGGUGUAAGCGACCCGUCUUGAAACACGGACCAAGGAGUCUAACAUCUAUGCGAGUGUUUGGGUGGUAAACCCAUACGCGGAAUGAAAGUGAACGUAGGUGAGAACCCC
This 633-nucleotide ribosomal RNA is filed under the name Erysiphe berberidis. RNAcentral describes it as "partial 28S ribosomal RNA". It matches the Rfam family "Eukaryotic large subunit ribosomal RNA", at positions 100 to 745 of the family's 3401-position model. The record is from RNAcentral. Lineage: Eukaryota; Fungi; Ascomycota; Leotiomycetes; Helotiales; Erysiphaceae.